AUCUGAAGAAGGAAGAAGAAACAUAAGAAGAAGCAGCAGCAGAAAAAGGGUAGGUGUAGGAGGUACAGCUCAUCUUCUGAGUCUUCUGAUUCAGACUCAGACUCAGAUUCCGACGAUCGGAGCAGUCGAAAGAAGAGCUCAAGGCAUAGCAGAAAGCGAUGAAUGAGAGAGGGUAGUACACAACAUUGCCUGUUUUAAGCACAUAUAAUUCUAC
Hibiscus syriacus is the source of this 214-nucleotide long non-coding RNA. RefSeq lists it as uncharacterized. The transcript has 3 exons. NCBI's taxonomy places the organism in Eukaryota, Viridiplantae, Streptophyta, Magnoliopsida, Malvales, Malvaceae. The record is from RefSeq and is a predicted model, not a curated record.